CACGGGGGGACUCCUACGGGAGGCAGCAGUGGGGAAUAUUGCACAAUGGGCGAAAGCCUGAUGCAGCAACGCCGCGUGAGCGAUGAAGGCCUUCGGGUCGUAAAGCUCUGUCCUCAAGGAAGAUAAUGACGGUACUGAGGAGGAAGCCCCG
This 151-nucleotide ribosomal RNA is filed under the name uncultured Clostridium sp. RNAcentral describes it as "partial 16S ribosomal RNA". It matches the Rfam family "Bacterial small subunit ribosomal RNA", at positions 325 to 495 of the family's 1533-position model. Lineage: Bacteria; Bacillati; Bacillota; Clostridia; Eubacteriales; Clostridiaceae. The record is from RNAcentral.